Molecule: long non-coding RNA, 1138 nt
Organism: Zea mays
Lineage: Eukaryota; Viridiplantae; Streptophyta; Magnoliopsida; Poales; Poaceae
Exons: 3
Source: RefSeq, a predicted model, not a curated record
CUUUGGUGAAUAUCGUGCCAAUUGUUGUGACAUACAACAAUUUUUUGCUGAUGGCGCAUGUCUUGACAACGUGUUUAUGCAAUGUUUCAUUGAGUGUGUCCGCGAUGACUGUUCUAAACAUAUUCCUCCACUGAAUGCUCACCAGCUCAUUCUAGAUGUUAAUGUUGGGGCUUUAUUGAACUUUGAGGAGCAGGAGCAACAUAGUAAGUCUCCUCGUCCAUUUGACCCUUCACUUUUGGAGAGUUACCUAUUGAAGACACUGCCUUCCUUCAAGCAGCUGGAUGACUACAAAUCAGUUAAUUUAUGUUCCUUGACCCAUCACACUCUCAUUUCAUAUUGCUGCAUUUAAAUUUCAAUCAAAUCAUUCAUAUCAACCAUAGUGUAUUCAACAUUUGUUAUUUCCAUUUUGUGUCCAUGUAGAUAAUGGUACCCAUGCUACGCUCUGGACAUUGGACAUUGUAUGUUGUUAAUCUUCAGAUUGGACGCAUACAUGUGUUAGAUUCGAACCCAUAUGGACCAGAGAUGGGUGGGACUAUCUGGAAAAAUUACCAUUGUAUACCUAUGGAUAUGGGUGAUAGGAAGGUUUCAUGGGCCAGGUUAAUAAUGACUAGGCUCAAUCUAGCCAUACAAAAUUCUCGACCAAGAUCAGCCCUCCCUGCUUUUUUGAAGUACCCUAUUGAACUCUUGAAUAACUGCCCAACAAUGAAAUUGGGGUCUAAUGAUUGUGGAUUCUUUGUUAUGAGAUAUAUGCAGCACUACGACUACAUGGUUGGAGCUAUGGAUGCAAUCAUUGUUCCGGAUAAUUCAGAGGACAUUCGCUCUCUUGUACUGAAGUACCUAAUAUUCCAUCGACUAAACAGAAACAGCUCCAUGGUUUCCCAUCUGGAUAGAUUCAAGUUCUCUCAGUAGUAGCCUAGUAUAGUUUACUCUCUGAAUGGUAGUCUGAACAUGAUGGUCUGAUGACUUUUGGUGGCUUCAAGUUAUUUCAGUACUAGCUUAGUUUAGGGUACUGUCACUGAAUGGUGUUGAUGUACAUAUUGGUCUGUUGGCUUAUGUUAGCAUUCAGAUAAUACUUAUGUCCAUAUGCAGCUCUUAGCAAACUCUUAUAUAUGUCGUUCCAGAUAUGUUUUAGAUGGAC